This 71-nucleotide transfer RNA is filed under the name Marmota monax (woodchuck). Its description in RNAcentral is "tRNA.Ala". Lineage: Eukaryota; Metazoa; Chordata; Mammalia; Rodentia; Sciuridae. The record is from RNAcentral.
GGGGUUGUGGCUCAAUGGUAGAGUGCUUACCUAGCACAAAUGAGGCAUUGGGUUCGAUCCCCAGCACCACA